UAAACACUUGCACAUUUAUUGCUGUAAUAUGACAAUUGAAUAAUUUGAUAUAAUAAAUUUUCAGAAUAAAUUUAAUUGUAGAAAUAAAAAAUAUAUGGCCAGGUCUCAUACUAGGAAUCUCUGCAACCCAAGUGGCAGUGUUGUUCUUAGAUAUUCUUUUCAUUUUGAAUACUGGCUUGAUGUCUGUUUUCUUGGUAAAAAUUGAUUUAUUACAUUUAAUUAAGUUAUUAGCCUCCUCUUCCAUGUCCCGAUCAUUUGGAAUAGAAGGAAUUAUAAUCUUUGGAGUCUCAGUCUGGGUUGUCAAGCAGAAAACUGUUUCUUCCUUUAUUUAUCCCUCCUGGCAGUCUAUUUGCAUCUUCCAGAGUAGCAAACUAAUAGGCACACUAUAUUUAGUGAGCCUGGUAGAUCUGAUUUGAAUUCCAAGGUUUGUGAUAUCAACAUUCUUCUUCAAUUCUCUUAAUUUAUUUGGUUGCCUACUGUUUUAUUUACUAAUGUUUAAACUAGCACUACAAGAUCAAUAUCACAUUGAAUGAAUUGUUUCAUAACAGUUGCAAAACUGUUCUUUUUCUAGAGAGGCAUCAUUGCCUCAGUUUCUGUUGAAGAAUCACACAAAGUUACAUCAGUCUAUAUGUGGACUUCUUCACUAUUCUCAUAAAUUAAAGUUUUUUGACAAUAGCAUAUUCAAAAACUCAUCACCAAGUUCUAUUACCAAAUCAUGUAACUCCACUGCAAGCAUGGUAACCUUCUCUCUGAUCUCAGUUUUAAUAUUUCUGCUAUUAUUAACCAGCUCUUUGAUUCUAUCAAUCAUGUCGUGAUAACAUCUACACCAUUCAUAAUAUAUCUCAGUGUCUGGUAAUUCAGGAUUAAUAAAUGUAUUUUUACUAUAUUUAUCAACUACUAGUUUAUAUUUACUAAACUCUUUUUAUG
Molecule: long non-coding RNA, 927 nt
Filed under: Androctonus crassicauda
Lineage: Eukaryota; Metazoa; Arthropoda; Arachnida; Scorpiones; Buthidae
Source: RNAcentral